GGAAUUUUCCGCAAUGGGCGAAAGCCUGACGGAGCAAUACCGCGUGAGGGAUGGCGGCCUGUGGGUUGUAAACCUCUUUUCUCAAGGAAGAAGUUCUGACGGUACUUGAGGAAUAAGCAUCGGCUAACUCUGUGCCAGCAGCCGCGGUAAUACGGGAGUGGCAAGCGUUAUCCGGAAUUGUUGGGCGUAAAGCGUCCGCAGGCGGUCUGUCAAGUCUGCUGUUAAAGCGUGGAGCUUAACUCCAUUUCGGCAGUGGAAACUGACAGACUAGAGUGUGGUAGGGGCAGAGGGAAUUCCCGGUGUAGCGGUGAAAUGCGUAGAUAUCGGGAAGAACACCAGUGGCGAAGGCGCUCUGCUGGGCCAUAACUGACGCUCAUGGACGAAAGCCAGGGGAGCGAAAGGGAUUAGAUACCCCAGUAGUC
Molecule: ribosomal RNA, 422 nt
Filed under: uncultured cyanobacterium
Lineage: Bacteria; Bacillati; Cyanobacteriota
Description: bacterial SSU rRNA
Rfam family: Bacterial small subunit ribosomal RNA
Source: RNAcentral